This 460-nucleotide ribosomal RNA is filed under the name uncultured bacterium. RNAcentral's name for it is "partial 16S ribosomal RNA". It matches the Rfam family "Bacterial small subunit ribosomal RNA", at positions 338 to 795 of the family's 1533-position model. The record is from RNAcentral.
CCUACGGGAGGCUGUAGUGAGGAAUAUUGGUCAAUGGACGCAAGUCUGAACCAGCCAUGCCGCGUGCAGGAAGACGGCUCUAUGAGUUGUAAACUGCUUUUGUACGAGGGUAAACGCAGAUACGCGUAUCUGUCUGAAAGUAUCGUACGAAUAAGGAUCGGCUAACUCCGUGCCCGCAGCCGCGGUAAUACGGAGGAUUCAAGCGUUAUCCGGAUUUAUUUGGGUUUACGGGUGCGUAGGCGGUCGGAUAAGUUAGAGGGGAAAUCCCGAGGCUCAAAUUCGGAAUUGCCUUUGAUACGGUUCGGCUAGAGAGUAGUUGCGGUAGGCGGAAUGUAUGGUGUAGCGGUGAAAUGCUUAGAGAUCAUACAGAACACCGAUUGCGAAGGCAGCUUACCAAGCUACUUCUGACGCUGAGGCACGAAAGCGUGGGGAGCAAACAGGAUUAGAUACCCCGGUAGUC